RNAcentral lists this ribosomal RNA (1348 nucleotides) under Dielis plumipes fossulana. RNAcentral's name for it is "16S ribosomal RNA". Lineage: Eukaryota; Metazoa; Arthropoda; Insecta; Hymenoptera; Scoliidae. The record is from RNAcentral.
UAUUUUAUUAAUUAAUUUAAAUAUUUUUGUUUAAUUAACAUUUAAAAUUACAAAAGUAAUUUUAUUAUUUAUAAGUUAUAGUAUAAAUUUACAAUAAAUUAUUUAUUUAAUGAUAAAUAAAGUAAAGUGAUUGAAUUAGUAAAAAAAUUUAAAAAAUAGAUUUAAUUGAUCGUACCUUUUGCAUCAGGGAUAAUUAAUAAAACAAUUUAUUAUUUUAAUUUAUCUCGAAAAGGAAAGAGUAAAUUAAUUAUGUGAAUUAAUGUGACAAAAUUACAUUAAAUAUUUAAUUAUAGGUGAAAUGCCAUUAGAUUUCUUUGAUAUCUAGUUUCUAGAAAAAUAAAUUAAAUUUGGGUAUAGUAAUAAUUUUAUUAAAAAUUAAUUUUAUAAAAAUGAUUAUUAUGCUACAUACUUAAGGGAUCAACUUUAAGUAUUGUUUAUAAAUUUGUUUAAAUUAAAGGUAAAAUUGUAUAAAUAGAAAUCUUAUUCUAUAGAAAAUAUGUUACAAUGUAUUUACAAAAUAUCAAAUUAAUUUAUAUUGUAUUUUAAUAUUAUAUCUAGAAAUUAAUUAUAAUUAUAAAAGUUAAGGUAAAAUGAUUAUAUUAAUAUAGCUUUAUUAUUUAAUGAAUAUAUUUAAGUAUAAAUAUUUUUGUUAAGGAACUCGACCAAUCUUUGGUUUUAUUACCCUUAGGUUCACCUGUUUAACAAAAACAUGUCUUUUUGAAUAUAAUAUAAAGUCUAUUCUGCUCAAUGAUUUAUUAAAUAGCCGCAGUAUCCAUGACUGUGCGAAGGUAGCAUAAUCAGUUGCUUUUUAAUUGAAAGCUUGUAUGAACGGAUGAAUGAAACUUAUAUUGUCUCAACAAAAUAAAUAAAAAUUAAAAUCUUAGUUAAAAUGCUAAGAUGUAUUUAAGGGACGAGAAGACCCUAUAGAAUUUUACUAUAGUAUAAAUACGAAGAAGAUUGGACGAACGGCUUCGUUAUUUAUACAAUUGUUUAGCUGGGGCAGCAUCUAAAUUAAAUUAACUUUAGAAUGAAAAUAAUCUUAAACAAUUAUAAUUGAAUAAAAAGAAACAAUUUAUUAAUAUUAGAAAAAAUUACCUUAGGGAUAACAGCGUUAUGCUUUUGUAAAGACCGUAUUUAAAAAAGCGUUUGCGACCUCGAUGUUGAAUUAAGGUAAAAAUCAGGUUGCAGCAGCCUGAUAUUUAAGUCUGUUCGACUUUUAAUAUCUUACAUGAUUUGAGUUCAGAUCGGUGUAAGCCAGAUCGGUUUCUAUCUUUAAAUAUAUAAUAAAUGUUUUUGUACGAAAGGAUCAGAUAUUAAAAAUAUUUUUUUUAAUAAGAAUAAUAGUAAU